GUGCCAGCCGCCGCGGUAAGACGAACCGUCCAAACGUUAUUCGGAAUCACUGGGCUUAAAGGGUGCGUAGGCGGUCCGGUAAGUUGGGUGUGAAAGACCUCGGCCUAACCGAGGAAUGGCGCCCAAAACUGUCGGACUUGAGCAAGGCAGAGGUGAACGGAACUUAGGGUGGAGCGGUGAAAUGCGUUGAUAUCCUAAGGAACACCAGUAGCGAAAGCGGUUCACUGGGCCUUUUCUGACGCUGAUGCACGAAAGCCAGGGGAGCGAACGGGAUUAGAAACCCCCGUAGUCC
RNAcentral lists this ribosomal RNA (292 nucleotides) under uncultured bacterium. Its description in RNAcentral is "partial 16S ribosomal RNA". It matches the Rfam family "Bacterial small subunit ribosomal RNA", at positions 505 to 796 of the family's 1533-position model. The record is from RNAcentral.